This 75-nucleotide transfer RNA is filed under the name Clostridia bacterium. Its description in RNAcentral is "tRNA-Thr". It matches the Rfam family "tRNA". From Rfam's summary of the family: Transfer RNA (tRNA) molecules are approximately 80 nucleotides in length. Their secondary structure includes four short double-helical elements and three loops (D, anti-codon, and T loops). Lineage: Bacteria; Bacillati; Bacillota; Clostridia. The record is from RNAcentral.
GCUGAUGUGGCUCAAUGGCAGAGCAGCUCACUCGUAAUGAGCAGGUUGUCGGUUCGAUUCCGAUCAUCAGCUCCA